Molecule: ribosomal RNA, 292 nt
Filed under: uncultured bacterium
Lineage: Bacteria
Description: partial 16S ribosomal RNA
Rfam family: Bacterial small subunit ribosomal RNA
Source: RNAcentral
GUGCCAGCAGCCGCGGUAAUACGUAGGGGUCGAGCGUUGUCCGGAGUUACUGGGCGUAAAGCGCGUGCAGGUGGCUCAUUACGCCCGGCGUGAAAGCCCCCGGCUCAACCGGGGAGGGUCGUCGGGGACGGAUGGGCUUGAGGGUCGCAGGGGCUGGUGGAAUUCCCGGUGUAGUGGUGAAAUGCGUAGAGAUCGGGAGGAACACCCGUGGCGAAGGCGGCCAGCUGGGCGACACCUGACACUGAGACGCGAAGGCGUGGGGAGCGAACGGGAUUAGAUACCCCAGUAGUCC